AGUUGAAGUGUGGAGGAAGCUGAUAAUGCUUUUUCAGUUCCUGAGGACUUCAAGCAGCUAUGAAAGUUAUAGGACAUCAGCAGACACCAACAAUCAGCUCACAAACAGCUGCUGAGAAGUUGAAGACAAACAUCUACAGAACUAUUGAAGCAUAAAAUAGUGCAGGAGCACCUGAAAAUGCAACUAUUGAGAAGGAGCACAGCACCAGAGAUCCCUUCCCCUGACACAAGAUUUGGUAACUGGAGCCAGUAGGCACCCAGCUGCAGGGAGAGGAUCAUCUUCAUCACCCUAAAGCACCAGGAAAGGAAUUGCCAGGUGGAAUUAGCAAAGCCUCCACCCCUACAGUCCGAGCAGUUGCUGAGUAUCAUUAAUCAUUCCAUCAAAUGGAGCAUUCACCACCCUCCUGGCUCCAAGAAGAUAUCCCACCCAGCAGGGAAUCAAACCUACUGUAAAGAAAAAUCCCAAACCCGAAUUCCUGCUGGCAGCAGAGACACCCGAGAGGAGAGGAGAGGCAUUAAGAGAGCAACUGGCACCCAGGGAGGCAGGUGGUGACAGAUGCUCCCUGCAACUUGGGAGGGCUGCAGAGAGGAAACCCAGCCCCAUUUCCAGCACAGCCCUGGGACACGACCUCAGCUAAGGAUGAACCCCACUGCCCCCUCAAAACCCCCCAGACACCCUCCCAUGCUUUUGCUCCACCAGCAAACCCCCCAGCUGAUCUCCCCGCGCCGGGCGCUGGGGCAGGCUCAGCCCGGGGCUGUGCGGGGAUUCCGGGGAUGCUGAGGAGCACCCAGCGAGCCGGGCUGGGCCGGGAAGGGCCAGCGGGAGCCGUGACAAACCCCGUUAUGUAACGGGUGACAAAUGCCUUUUGUUAUGCAAGACAAGUGGGAGAAAAAUCAGCAUUUUGCGACUCCCUGAGCACAAACAGGCUGCGGCUCCGGGGGGCACCGGCACGCUCCCAGCAGCACAAAUAGAUGCCUUGGAAACGCCUCCUGGUUUGGAUGAGUCAACAGAAAAAUGCAGAAUCGAUAUUUAAUUUUAAGGGAUUGAGGUUGUCAGCACGGUCAUUUGAUAAUUUGGGGGGUUUUGUUAAGGAGAGAGGCCGGUGGGCAGCCAUCCACCAGCCUUGCUCAUCAGUCAUCUAAAAUGAGGGAUCUACAUCCCCUUUGCUCAGCAGCUGGGGUGCUAGGCUUUUUUAAUUAAAAAUUUAAAUUGGUAUUAAUAGAAUUUCGUAA
Molecule: long non-coding RNA, 1232 nt
Organism: Passer montanus (Eurasian tree sparrow)
Lineage: Eukaryota; Metazoa; Chordata; Aves; Passeriformes; Passeridae
Exons: 3
Source: RefSeq, a predicted model, not a curated record